AACACGUGAGUAACCUGCCCCUGACUCUGGGAUAAGCCCGGGAAACUGGGUCUAAUACCGGAUAUGCACCGUGGACCGCAUGGUUCUUGGUGGAAAGAUUUUUCGGUCGGGGAUGGACUCGCGGCCUAUCAGCUUGUUGGUGAGGUAAUGGCUCACCAAGGCGACGACGGGUAGCCGGCCUGAGAGGGUGACCGGCCACACUGGGACUGAGACACGGCCCAGACUCCUACGGGAGGCAGCAGUGGGGAAUAUUGGACAAUGGGCGAAAGCCUGAUGCAGCGACGCCGCGUGAGGGAUGACGGCCUUCGGGUUGUAAACCUCUUUCAGUAGGGAAGAAGCGAAAGUGACGGUACCUGCAGAAGAAGCGCCGGCUAACUACGUGCCAGCAGCCGCGGUAAUACGUAGGGCGCAAGCGUUAUCCGGAAUUAUUGGGCGUAAAGAGCUCGUAGGCGGUUUGUCGCGUCUGCCGUGAAAGUCCGAGGCUCAACCUCGGAUCUGCGGUGGGUACGGGCAGACUAGAGUGAUGUAGGGGAGACUGGAAUUCCUGGUGUAGCGGUGAAAUGCGCAGAUAUCAGGAGG
This 579-nucleotide ribosomal RNA is filed under the name uncultured bacterium. RNAcentral's name for it is "bacterial SSU rRNA". It matches the Rfam family "Bacterial small subunit ribosomal RNA", at positions 112 to 704 of the family's 1533-position model. The record is from RNAcentral.